CAAUUUUAAGUAUUUUAUACAUUAAAUUUAGAAUUUAAAGAGGCUUAUGCAGAAUUGA
RNAcentral lists this transfer RNA (58 nucleotides) under Sperchon plumifer. RNAcentral describes it as "tRNA-Leu". The record is from RNAcentral. Lineage: Eukaryota; Metazoa; Arthropoda; Arachnida; Trombidiformes; Sperchontidae.